RNAcentral lists this ribosomal RNA (1404 nucleotides) under Haererehalobacter sp. SO74. RNAcentral's name for it is "16S ribosomal RNA". It matches the Rfam family "Bacterial small subunit ribosomal RNA". Lineage: Bacteria; Pseudomonadati; Pseudomonadota; Gammaproteobacteria. The record is from RNAcentral.
UGCAAGUCGAGCGGCAGCACGGGGAGCUUGCUCCCUGGUGGCGAGCGGCGGACGGGUGAGUAAUGCAUAGGAAUCUGCCCGGUAGUGGGGGAUAACGUGGGGAAACCCACGCUAAUACCGCAUACGUCCUACGGGAGAAAGCGGAGGCUCUUCGGACUUCGCGCUAUCGGAUGAGCCUAUGUCGGAUUAGCUGGUUGGUAAGGUAACGGCUUACCAAGGCGACGAUCCGUAGCUGGUCUGAGAGGAUGAUCAGCCACACUGGGACUGAGACACGGCCCAGACUCCUACGGGAGGCAGCAGUGGGGAAUAUUGGACAAUGGGCGAAAGCCUGAUCCAGCCAUGCCGCGUGUGUGAAGAAGGCUUUCGGGUUGUAAAGCACUUUCAGCGAGGAAGAAAGCCUUUGGGUUAAUACCCCAGAGGAAGGACAUCACUCGCAGAAGAAGCACCGGCUAAACUCCGUGCCAGCAGCCGCGGUAAUACGGAGGGUGCGAGCGUUAAUCGGAAUUACUGGGCGUAAAGCGCGCGUAGGUGGCUUGGCCGCCGGUUGUGAAAGCCCCGGGCUCAACCUGGGAACGGCAUCCGGAACGGCCAGGCUAGAGUGCAGGAAAGGAAGGUAGAAUUCCCGGUGUAGCGGUGAAAUGCGUAGAGAUCGGGAGGAAUACCAGUGGCGAAGGCGGCCUUCUGGCCUGACACUGACACUGAGGUGCGAAAGCGUGGGUAGCAAACAGGAUUAGAUACCCUGGUAGUCCACGCCGUAAACGAUGUCGACUAGCCGUUGGGACCUUUAAGGACUUAGUGGCGCAGUUAACGCGAUAAGUCGACCGCCUGGGGAGUACGGCCGCAAGGUUAAAACUCAAAUGAAUUGACGGGGGCCCGCACAAGCGGUGGAGCAUGUGGUUUAAUUCGAUGCAACGCGAAGAACCUUACCUACCCUUGACAUCCUGCGAACCCGGAAGAGAUUCCGGGGUGCCUUCGGGAAACGCAGUGACAGGUGCUGCAUGGCUGUCGUCAGCUCGUGUUUGUGAAAUGGUGGGGUUUAAGUCCCCGUAACGAGGCGCAACCCUUGGUCCUUAUUUGCCAGCGAUUCGGGUCGGGAACUCUUAAGGAGACUGCCCGGUGACAAACCGGAGGAAGGUGGGGACGACGUCAAGUCAUCAUGGCCCUUACGGGUAGGGCUACACACGUGCUACAAUGGCCGGUACAAAGGGUUGCGAGACCGCGAGGUGGAGCGAAUCCCAGAAAGCCGGCCUCAGUCCGGAUCGGAGUCUGCAACUCGACUCCGUGAAGUCGGAAUCGCUAGUAAUCGUGAAUCAGAAUGUCACGGUGAAUACGUUCCCGGGCCUUGUACACACCGCCCGUCACACCAUGGGAGUGGACUGCACCAGAAGUGGUUAGCUUAACCUU